This 235-nucleotide long non-coding RNA is filed under the name Mytilus galloprovincialis (Mediterranean mussel). The record is from RNAcentral. Lineage: Eukaryota; Metazoa; Mollusca; Bivalvia; Mytilida; Mytilidae.
AAGGUCAUAUUCUAAUUUUUGAAUAUGGCUCAUUUCCACUCAUUUCCAAAAAACGUUUAAGAUAUCGACAAAUUAUUUUUUCUAAAUCGUUUGUUGUGACAUGUCGUAACACGUAAAUUUUGAUUGCAAGGGUACGUUGAAUGUGAAAGGGAGUUUUCUCCCCUUUGGUAUUUAAAAAUACGCGUAUGGUGAUAUAACUCAUUAACUAAACAUAAUUAAGACCUAUGGUCUUUUG